UAUUUUUCUGAAAAAAUUUCAAAUACCAUCCUUUAGUUUUAUAUUUUCUCAUGUUAGUACUCUAUGAUUUAAAAGGUGUCAAUCUAGUGUCCUGUAAUUUUAUUUUUUUUUAUUAUCAAUUUCACUAAUUUUUUUCAUUAAAUCAAUGAUAAAAUUAAAACUAAAGAAUAGUAAAGUGAAUAUUUGAUAAACCCAGCUAGAUUACCUGAAGUUUUUUUUGUAUAUAAUUAAACGAAAAAGCUGACGAAAAGAUAAAAAUAAAAUUACAAAACAUUAACUCGAUACACUUUAAACUAUGAAAUUCUAAAGUGAGAAAAUACGAAACCACAUGGCAUGGGUGGUAUUUGAAGUUUACCAUUUUUUUUUUUUUUUUUUUU
This 377-nucleotide long non-coding RNA is filed under the name Ananas comosus (pineapple). Its description in RNAcentral is "long non-coding RNA (ACOM_LNC012508)". The record is from RNAcentral. Lineage: Eukaryota; Viridiplantae; Streptophyta; Magnoliopsida; Poales; Bromeliaceae.